CAAAGAAGAGUAGCCCCUGCUUGCUGCAACUAGAGAAAACCUGUGCGCAGCAACAAAGACCCAACGUAGCCAAAAAGAAAAAAAAAAAGAAUGCCUUUGGUGGGCUUAUUAGUAGAUGACACAGCUGAGGAAAGAAUCUCUGAGCUAGAAAAUAUAUCAAUAGAAUCCUUGAAAAGCAAAGAGAGCAAAGAUUGAAGAAAGAAACCCAAACAAACCAAUAGCCAAGGUCUGUGGGACAACUGCAAAAGGUAUAACAUACAGUUGACUCUGAACAACAUGGGUUUGAACUAUGCUGGUUCACUUAUACACAGAUUUCUUUCAAUAGUAAAUACUAUAGUACUAUGUGAUCCAAGUUUGGUUGAAUCUGUAGAUGUGGAACUGCAGAUACAGAGGAACCAUGGAUAUGGAGGAAUUGUGUGUAUGGAGGGCCAACUAUAAUUAUAUAUGGAUUUUCGACUGUGUGGAGGGUUGGUGCCCCUAACCUGUGUUCAAGAUUCAACUGUUAACACACAAUGAGAAUACCAGGAGAGAGAAAGUAACAGAAGAAGUAUUGGAAACAAUAAUGACUGAGAAUUUCUUCAAAUUAAUGCCAGACACCAAACCACAGAUCAAGGGAGCUUAGAGAACUCCAAGCAGGAUAAAAAAAACAAACAAAAAAAACCCCAAAAAACUGUAUUGAGGCAUAUAAUAUUCAAUCUACAGAAAGUCAAAGAUAAGGAAAAAAUCCUGAAAGAAGCUAGAGGGAAGAAAACACCUUACCUAUAGAGUAACAAAGAUAAGAAUUACAUCUGACUUCUCCUCAGAAACUGUGCAAGCAAGAAGACUGUGGAGUGUUAAAAAAAAAACCCAGCAACCUAGAAUUCUGUGAAAUUAUCUUUCAAAAGUGAAGGAAACACAAAUAUUUUCCUGGACAAGUGAAAGUUGGAAUUUGUCAUCAGUAGAACUUCCUUGCAAGAAAUGUUAAAAGAAGUUCUUCAGAGAGAAGGAAAAUAAUAUAUGUCAGAAACUUGGAUCUGUAUGAAGUAAUGAAGAACAUCAAAGAAGGAAUAAGUGAAGGAACUGUUGCAUGCAGUUCUGGAAGCUGAGCAGUCCCACAGUCUGCCUCUGCAAGCUGGAGAACGAGGAAAGACAGCAGUAUAAUGCAGUCCAAGUCUGAAGGCCUGAGAACUAGGAGCUCUGAUGGUCGAGGGCAGGAAAAGAUGGACAUCCCAGCUCAAGAAGAGAGAGAGAAUUCUGCCAUCUUUUCCUCUUUUGUUCCAUAUGGCCCCAAACAGAUUGGAUGAUGUCUGCCCAUAUUGAAGUCUUCUCAAACCCUUUAUGGAACAAAGCUGGAUAUGAUUAAAUAAAGUCUGCAUCUAGUUUUUGAUAUGUGAAAAAGAUCAUCUUCAAAAUUAAGGAUUUCCAUGGAAAAGAAUAUUAGAUCCUCUGUCAACUAUCAGACUUCUCCUUCUGCACAGCCCUCUCUUGGUGCUUUUGCUUUUCAAAGUUUUCAGUAGCCGGGCACUUACUCCACUACGGCGGGAUGUCAUAGCCACCACUGGAGACCACUGGUUGGUUCUGGGGUUGUAUCUCUCAGCACUGCUAAGCUCUGUAGUGUCAUCUCUGCCUCCUACGGCAUAGAUCAUAUCCUGAUACACUGCGCAGCCUAGGUGUUUCCUCCGGGUCCCCAUAGGGGCUAUGGUGUGCCAUCUGUUUUCCUGAGGAUUAUAACGCUCCACUGCAGGGAAAAGAAAAACCAGGGACUCUCCUAAGAAAAAAUGUAUUGCUUUGGGGAAACCAGACUGACUUUGGAAGGAACUAACCUGUGUUGAGUGGAGAUGUCCCAUCAGAGCCACCUACAGCGUAUAAGAACCCUCCUAACACAGCCACAGCCACGCCUAGUCUCCUAGUACUCAUAGAAGCCACCCGAGUCCACUUGUUCUCCUUCGGAUCAUACCUGCGAUCUUGAUAUGCUGCAGGGUUUCAUAGAUAUGUUUGGUAAGUAUCAAGAACACAGCUGAAUGAAAAAGGGUUGGAUGAGAACAAGAAGCUAGAAGUUAUUAAAAAAUAAAUUAUUGUAGGUUUCUAAUAUGCCAGGCAUUGUCACAGAUGUGGGAAAAGACAUUUCAAUAAACAGUUACAGCCAAUGUGAUAUGUACAAGUAUGUUCAAAAUACUUGUGAAAGAUCAGAGGACUGAGUAACUAACCUGUCUCUAUGGUGCCAGAGACGGCUUUAUAUAAGAAGUAACAUUUGAAUCUUGAAAAGAUAUUCCAGGGAAGAACGAACAGCAUGCAUAUAUAUAGGCAAAGAGGCACGAAAGAGGACAGCAUGUCUAAGGAACUGCAAACAAUUUGGUGGGUCUGCACUAGCGUGUUUAGGGAAUAGUGGUGUGCCAAGGGAGACAGACUGGAGAAACAGGUGGAGGUCAGAUCAUAAAGGACUUGUAUGUCACAGUAAGUGGUCUAGGCUGCCAGCUAGUGCCACAGACACAAAACUAAAGCAACAGGUUACAUCUGUUUCUAAUUAACAUCUCAAACAAAACAAUAUGAAUAGGAGAGAAAAAAAUUUCAAAUUGA
Long non-coding RNA from Aethalodelphis obliquidens (Pacific white-sided dolphin), 2556 nucleotides. RefSeq lists it as uncharacterized. The transcript is spliced from 6 exons. Lineage: Eukaryota; Metazoa; Chordata; Mammalia; Artiodactyla; Delphinidae. The record is from RefSeq and is a predicted model, not a curated record.